This 434-nucleotide ribosomal RNA is filed under the name uncultured bacterium. RNAcentral describes it as "partial 16S ribosomal RNA". It matches the Rfam family "Bacterial small subunit ribosomal RNA", at positions 29 to 507 of the family's 1533-position model. The record is from RNAcentral.
AGCGAACGCUGGCGGCAGGCCUAACACAUGCAAGUCGAACGAACCUUUCGGGGUUAGUGGCGGACGGGGGAGUAACACGUGGGAACGUGCCUUUAGGUUCGGAAUAACUCAGGGAAACUUGUGCUAAUACCGAAUGGGCCCUUCGGGGGAAAGAGUUAUCGCCGUUAGAGCGGCCCGCGUCUGAUUAGCUAGUUGGGUGAGGUAAUGGCUCACCAAGGCGACGAGCAGUAGCUGGUCUGAGAGGAUGAUCAGCCACAUUGGGACUGAGACACGGACCAAACUCCUACGGGAGGCAGCAGUGGGGAAUCUUGCGCAAUGGGCGAAAGCCUGACGAAGCCAUGCCGCGUGAAUGAUGAAGGUCUUAGGAUUGUAAAAUUCUUUCACCGGGGACGAUAAUGACGGUACCCGGAGAAGAAGCCCCGGCUAACUUCGUG